RNAcentral lists this ribosomal RNA (356 nucleotides) under Clostridioides difficile. Its description in RNAcentral is "bacterial SSU rRNA". It matches the Rfam family "Bacterial small subunit ribosomal RNA", at positions 1 to 364 of the family's 1533-position model. The record is from RNAcentral. Lineage: Bacteria; Bacillati; Bacillota; Clostridia; Peptostreptococcales; Peptostreptococcaceae.
UUUUAUUUGAGAGUUUGAUCCUGGCUCAGGAUGAACGCUGGCGGCGUGCCUAACACAUGCAAGUUGAGCGAUUUACUUCGGUAAAGAGCGGCGGACGGGUGAGUAACGCGUGGGUAACCUACCCUGUACACACGGAUAACAUACCGAAAGGUAUGCUAAUACGGGAUAAUAUAUUUGAGAGGCAUCUCUUAAAUAUCAAAGGUGAGCCAGUACAGGAUGGACCCGCGUCUGAUUAGCUAGUUGGUAAGGUAACGGCUUACCAAGGCGACGAUCAGUAGCCGACCUGAGAGGGUGAUCGGCCACAUUGGAACUGAGACACGGUCCAAACUCCUACGGGAGGCAGCAGUGGGGAAUAU